GGCCUCAUAGCUCAACUGGUAGAGCACCCGGCUCAUAACCGGGAGGAUGUGGGUUCGAUCCCCAAUAAGGCCA
RNAcentral lists this transfer RNA (73 nucleotides) under Caudoviricetes sp. RNAcentral's name for it is "tRNA-Met". It matches the Rfam family "tRNA". From Rfam's summary of the family: Transfer RNA (tRNA) molecules are approximately 80 nucleotides in length. Their secondary structure includes four short double-helical elements and three loops (D, anti-codon, and T loops). The record is from RNAcentral. Lineage: Duplodnaviria; Heunggongvirae; Uroviricota; Caudoviricetes.